AGCAGUCAGCUGGAUUGUGUGUGUGUGUGUGUGUGUGUGUGUGUGUGUGUACACACACACACACACACACACACACACACACACAGAGUAUACAUA
Molecule: non-coding RNA, 96 nt
Organism: Podarcis lilfordi (Lilford's wall lizard)
Lineage: Eukaryota; Metazoa; Chordata; Lepidosauria; Squamata; Lacertidae
Source: the annotation of a GenBank genome assembly